UAUGAAUUUCCAUAAACUUCAAGAGCAUAAUCAAUCUCUCCUCUCUAUAUUACAGAGCAAAACUUGCCCAAAUAUGUUAGAGCUGUUGUUCACCCCACUGCUAUCAGUCAGAGCCCAAGGAGUGCACACAUUGAACUGGAACCAUAACCUUGGCGGUCAUAUUUUGAGGAACAGAAGAGCUACUGUGAUCUGAGUCUCUGAAGGGUUAUGUGCACGUGAGCUGCCCGUUGACUUGGAUGCUCAUCUCAGACUGUUGUAGAAGAAAGAACAAAAUAAGUAGGCUCCAUACUCAGCAUAGAGCCCUGUUUCGAACUCAAACUCAUGACCCUAAGAUCAAGAACUGAGCUGAGAUCACCAUGUGAGCCGGAAUCAAGACUCGGAUGCUUAACUGACUGAGCCAUCCAGGCCCCCAGCCGUAUCCUCUUCUAAAGAACUGAUGGCAUCACCCCAGGUAGAAGUUGGUGAGGUCCAUUAGAUGAUGGAGAAGGUUAGCUGGCUCAAACUCCAACAGGCUAAAAUGCAAGAAGCUCACUCUUGAUACCAGACUGCUCAAUGAAGUAGUUAAGAUUAAGGAAGUGGCAGGGGUAUGGAAGGGAUGGAGAGUAAAAAUCUGGAAGGUACAGGUGGUGGGCAGAGCAUGCCUGGAGAAACCUAAAAGUCCAUUCAAAGAAAGGAGAAACCAAAAGUAUCUGCAGUGGAAAGAUUAGUAGUAGGGUGCAAAGAGGAUGAAAUGAGGCAGAGAGACAAAAGUCUGAAUUCUUGUAUUAGAGAGGUGCUGAGGUCACAGCCAGCAGAGAACAGGGCCUGAAGUUAGACCCUGGGAAACAAGCAAGAAUGUAGGCUCUUGGUAUGGGAAGAGACAGACUAAUAACAGGUUUCCAGAUUCAGCCAAGUUUUCUCAACUUUGUUGCUUUUGGCCACAUAGGGGAUGUUUACCUAUUGAAGGCCAGAUAGAGUAGAGAACAAAACCUCAGACAGGUACGGAGAGUGAUCUGUUCCCUAAGUAGACUCAAGGCCAGAAACAGUAUCUCCAAGGUCUGGUGGUUGACCUGGGACAGAGCAGCCUAUCUUCAACUGCAGGUGAAAAAUACUGUGAUUGAUUUGCCAGUAAGUUCGCUGUCUGAUGUUAUUUCUGCUAAAACCCGCAUCCAGGAAGUUCAACUGUUUCAUUUAUUUUGCAAACAGGGUAUGAUCAGGAAACUAUUUAAAGAAAGAGUUAAAAAAGAAAAAAGUUUUGCAGAAGCUAAAUACUUUUUUUUCCAAUUCAUGUGUGACCUUUGAACUUUAUGUUUACAUAAAAAAGACAGGCAGCAGCAGAGUCUGCUCUAAUCUUUAACCAUAACUGAUUUCCAAGAACCUGUGACACUAUUCCCAGUUCCUUUGGUUUGGUUACUUUCAACUGGUUACCAGCAUUUAAACUUAAUCGAGCAUGCUAAAAAUCAGACACAAUGAAAAUGCUAACCUACAUGAAGUUGUGAAACUUUUUGUUCGGAGGGAAGUGUUUCAGCAAAUCCCAAAUCCCAAUGAUGACAUGGCUGCAAAAGUGAGAAGAAUAAUGACUCAACGCUGACUAAGGGAAUUCAGCUGUGGAACUUGUCUGUUCACCAGACUUUAAAAACAAAUUUCGAUGACCAACUUGAAAAGCAAGAGGUAAAUUAAAAUAUGUUAAGCACAUAAAGCAAUGAAAUGACCACUGAGGACCCAACAAAGGUGAAUUGCUGAGAUCCUCCACUUCUUGGCCCAAGCUCAGUGAUUGAAGUCAUUGGCUACUCUUAUGUUCUGAUUCUAGACAGAACGUGUUAUCCAUUCUCUUUGUCUGCAAAGGAUUUUCAGCAUCAGCUAGUCAACCAUGACAAAAGGAAACCAACUUGAAAGUCACAUGAACACUCUGAAGUGUUCUCAGGGAUUAAGGCAUAUGAAUGUACCUAGGUGACAAUGGAACUCGAAGCACUUGGAAAAGUAACGCUGCACCCACUUACACAAGAGUGUUUCUUAGGAUACUUGCCAAACAAUUUUGUUCACCUGAAAUUCUCUGUCUUACUUUCAAGAUCCCGCUGGGCCUGGAGGCAACUGGUUAAGGCAAAGGGAAAGGCAAUCAACCCCAGGAAAGUCAGAUUCAGGUCAAUCAGCAGGGGCUGAGUAGACAGGGCAAGCCACCUUCUGACCUCCUCCAUCACUACUGCUACAGGCUAAGUAAGUCACAGUGAGUCCCUGAAGCUGUGCUUCCUUAUUCUAUGGUGUUAAGCUACAUGAGCACACCAUCCUAUUUACACAUUCUCUAAAGGGAAAAAAGUUUCUUAACCUCUUACUAAGCAAAUAUGAGCCAAAGAGAGCCUUAGAGACAAAAAUAAUAGCCUUCAAAGAAGGAAUAUUUGUGUGUUCAGAUGAAUAAAGCCAGUAAAUGUAGAGGCAAGUAAAUUUUUGUCAUCUGGGAUCUCCUAAAAAAGGAAAAUAAAUGUAUUUCUCUCCUCCUCCCA
Molecule: long non-coding RNA, 2477 nt
Organism: Canis lupus familiaris (dog)
Lineage: Eukaryota; Metazoa; Chordata; Mammalia; Carnivora; Canidae
Exons: 3
Source: RefSeq, a predicted model, not a curated record